RNAcentral lists this ribosomal RNA (305 nucleotides) under uncultured bacterium. RNAcentral describes it as "partial 16S ribosomal RNA". It matches the Rfam family "Bacterial small subunit ribosomal RNA", at positions 508 to 809 of the family's 1533-position model. The record is from RNAcentral.
ACAGCAGUCGCCGCGGUAAUACGAAGGGUGCAAGCGUUACUCGGAAUUACUGGGCGUAAAGCGUGCGUAGGCGGCUUCUUAAGUCGGAUGUGAAAUCCCUGAGCUUAACUUAGGAAUUGCAUUCGAUACUGGGAAGCUAGAGUAUGGGAGAGGAUGGUAGAAUUCCAGGUGUAGCGGUGAAAUGCGUAGAGAUCUGGAGGAAUACCGAUGGCGAAGGCAGCCAUCUGGCCUAAUACUGACGCUGAGGUACGAAAGCAUGGGGAGCAAACAGGAUUAGAUACCCCCGUAGUCCCUGUCUCUUAUAA